Molecule: long non-coding RNA, 2310 nt
Organism: Helianthus annuus (common sunflower)
Lineage: Eukaryota; Viridiplantae; Streptophyta; Magnoliopsida; Asterales; Asteraceae
Exons: 2
Source: RefSeq, a predicted model, not a curated record
CAAACACACUUGCGUCACAAAAACACAGAUAAUAGAAAGAUAGAGUUAUUUUAGAGAGAGAGAGAGAAGAGAGAUACGGUGGAAGGACCAUGGUUUCUAGUGGUGAACCCGGCUGCGCACGGCAGCCCUCUCACUUCCGACGCAUAAACGACCGCCAUGGCGGCGGUGAGUUGUAGAGUUGUACUUCAGGUGAAGUCCGGCCAGUCUCCGGCGAAGAUCCGGUAAGUAUUUUAUUGUACUGCAUGUUAAAUUUUCAGUUAGAUCUGCUCUUGAUUUGUUGUUUGAGACUUUUUUUGGUAAUACAUAAUUCCGGCAAGAAUCCGGUCAAGUUACGACCAAGGUCCGAUGAACGAAAGUCUACCUUCAUGUCUUGGAUCAUAAUCUGGGUAUAAUUUUGGUAGAUCGGGUAUGGAGCUCAUGGCUUGUAUUGGCGGCUAGCGUUCCAGUUUAGGGGUUUUGAAACCAGAUCGUGUUUGGAGACAACCUUCACGAUGUGUUAGUGUUUUGUGCAUAGGGACUUCCAGUUUCACAACCCAAAAUAACCCUAAACGUCGUGAGCGAACCGACCACCAUCGUCCUCCUCUUACGGUUCAUCUUCUUCGUCUUUCCACGACUAUGAGAUACUAUAGUUGGAGAACUUUCGGCCGACAAAGUCAAAUACAAACUCAAAUACAUCGUCGGAAACGCUAAUGUAGUCUACAGGCUCAAAGUAAUCGCACGUGAUAAUAACAUGCCAACAUCUUAGUUGUAAGUGCUCAACCCUAAUUUUAUGCUCAAAUACAACAAAAUGAUUGAUCCCUUGCAGACAACAAGAGGCGAUGAGCAGUCUUGCAUAUCCCGUGUUUUCUACAACUUUACAAGAAGCAAGGUAUGAAUUUUUCUUUAAUUGUUUUGUGUUUUUUAGAUAAUAUUUGCAAAAUGCCAUGGUUUAUUUGAAUAUGCACAAUGUAUGUUUGAUUUGGUGAGUAAAUUGUGUUAAGAAGUUGGCCACUUGAUGGAAGAUAAUUUUUGAUUUGCAAACAACAAUCGAGUGUGAUAAAUAUGAUUUUUAUGUUGAUAGGAACUUAAAAGUGACACUUACGGAUAAUAUGUUGGGAGAUUAAAAAUGAUCUGAUAUAUACAAAUUUCUCCAUGUUUAUAUUAUGAAUUAUCAUGGUCUUUCAAACACAAACAUGAAAUGGUAAGUUAUAAGGUUGAUGUUUGUAAAAGUGCAGAUACAUGUCAUGAAAUAUUGAAGGGAAUACCAAGAAAAAAAAUUGAUAGACUGAUAAAUGGUUGGGUGGCUGAAUGUAUAUGGUCGUAAAGGGGUAUGGUUGUAAAAAGUGUUUACGAGAUAUUUUACUUUUUAGAAAAUGGCGAAGGCUCGAUCAAGAGUAAUGGAUAAACGAAAGAAGGGUGCUGCAUGUGAAAGCACAUUUGGCUUUAGAAAGCGCGCCUGAGGCGCGCCAUCAGGUGCAGAAUGCUACAGUUUACUUAACAAUAGGUGGAUGUUUUCUAGAAAGCAAGAAUUUCUUCGCCUUUUAUGUCGGGUACUGAAUCGAUUAAGCGCGUGCUUUAUUGUCAGGUAACACGAAUGACGGCGUGCACAAAUGUAGAUGGAGAAUAUUAACAUAGAUGAUAGGCCAUUGUAAUCAAGCUGUAUAAAGCCAAAAAAAUGUCAUAUUAUUCCACUGUAAAUCUUAAAUACAUCUUUCAACCUGUUCAAAUUUGUAUAUCAUGUUUUUUUGGAUGUGUUUUACAUUAACAUGUUCAAAUUUGUAUAUCAUGUUUUUUUGGAUGUGUUUUACAUGGAAAGUGCAGUUUGAGCUACAUUACAUGAUUUGGUAUUGUGGAAGUCGAGCUUCGCAAAUCAAAGAGAUGUGGGCUAAAGGAUAAAUGUCUUGAUGAUAUACUGUUAUACUUGCACCAAUCUUGAAGGUUGUUUUAAGUUGUGAAUCAUUUAUUAAUGGAUUGUACAAAUGACGAGCAGACAUACUUAUUGUAUUAUAUGCAUGUUUGCGGAGUCUUGACUGCUGCUCCAUUCCAUGCAAGCCCACCACUCUACUCAUGAGAGAUGGGUUCACUUUACUGUCACUGGUGGUUAGCGGGUUGACACAACAAGGAAGCCUUGAUGCUUGGGUAUGGUUAGAUAUUUAGAUUAGAGCAGUUUAUGUAGUGGUAAGUUGGAUUAGAGGAGGCAGUUUUUUUUUGUUUAAAAUAGCAGAGGUUAGAGAGCAAUUUAUUUUAUUUAUUAUGACAGACAUCUGUUAAUUUUGAUUUUUGUUUAUGACUUUGUAUAAUAAACCAAAUCACAAUAGAGUCACUUACGCA